This 253-nucleotide ribosomal RNA is filed under the name uncultured bacterium. RNAcentral's name for it is "partial 16S ribosomal RNA". It matches the Rfam family "Bacterial small subunit ribosomal RNA", at positions 524 to 776 of the family's 1533-position model. The record is from RNAcentral.
UACGUAGGAGACGAGCGUUGUCCGGAAUUACUGGGCGUAAAGCGCGUGUAGGCGGAUGGGCAAGUCUGCUGUGAAAGCUCCUGGCUUAACCGGGAGUGGUCGGUGGAAACUGCCCGUCUGGAGGACGGUAGAGGUAGGUAGAAUUCCCGGUGUAGUGGUGAAAUGCGUAGAGAUCGGGAGGAAUACCUGUGGCGAAGGCGGCCUACUGGGCCGGACCUGACGCUGAGACGCGAAGGCGUGGGGAGCGAACGGG